GUGCUCAGGCAGCGCGUCUGAUAGAUUGGAAUCGAUACAGGGAAGAUUAGCACGGCCCCUGCAAACAGAUGACACGCAAACUAGCAUAUCCUCUGCGU
Molecule: small nuclear RNA, 98 nt
Filed under: Betta splendens (Siamese fighting fish)
Lineage: Eukaryota; Metazoa; Chordata; Actinopteri; Anabantiformes; Osphronemidae
Source: RNAcentral